UUCGUCUCCUCCACUCGGCAAUUUCUGCGGUGGAGUGUUCAAACCUCGGCGAAGGCGCUCAUUUUUUUUUUUACAAUUUCUCCCAAAAAAUGGUUGGCAUGCAAAUCGGAAAAUUAUAAAGAUAAACGUGGAUAGAGGAAGGAUAAAUAAUCAUUUUUUUAAGAAUCUAUUCAUCACUUCAUACAUUCUCGCUCACGAUUUUCCAUUUUCGCACGAAUAAAGUAUCUACAAGGAGGCUCUUUCCACGUCACCCAAGAGGUAGCGUCAUCGACGCGUUUUAUUUAAAGUGCUAUCCCCCGUAGGCCUAAUCCACUAAGGCGAGGGAUGGACAAUCAUUAUGAUCUGCAAACCUGGAAGCGAAAAGAAAUAAAUAACGUGAAAAACAUAUCGUAGAACACAAUUGUCGAGAGCUGGAAGAUCCAAUCGAGCUUCGGGAACCCAUCCUGGUGAUUAUUGUGGUCCUUGAAUUGCAACACCGAACAGCUUAGAAGAGUGGCGAUGACCAGGAGUUGAGGGGAACGUGAAAGUGAUCGCCGCUUACGAAACCUUGUCCCCUGUUUUUCACUUGAGAAUACCUCCCUAAAUCAUACCUUAGCGCCACAACAAGACACACACACGCUUUGAUCGCGUUGUGGCAGAUCGUCUUAUCACAUUCAAAAGUCACAAUGUGCACAGUGUGCAUACCCAGCUAAGAAGAUGCGUUCCUACAACUGGUCCAUCAAAGCCAAGAGGAGGAAGACCACUGGCACUGGACGUAUGCGUCACCUUAAGAUCGUUCGUCGCAAGUUCAAGAAUGGAUUCAGGGAGGGACUUCCAAAAGCGAAAGCAGUCGCCACCAAAUAAGUGAUUCUAUAAUGAGCAUCUGUUUUACUUCAAUAAAGAUCAUGAAAUUUUGUAAAGCUAAUAUCGUAAUUAUUCAUUCAUCACGUUUCUGAUUAGAAAUAUUUGAACAAAGUAAGAUACUCAGCAUAAAUUUGAAUAAAUCAUUUAACACCGAAUAAUAAUGAGCUGAUAAUUGUCGAUUACGUCCUGGAGAUCACUGAUAGGGCUAGUCAAGAGGCUGAUCAAUAGCAAAUCAUUUCUAUGUACGACUGCCGAUUCGAUAUCCCUGCAACCCCACUUGGCACUCUGACAUCCAAGGUUGGUCUGCAAAUUCCUCCGGCAUGCCAACAAUAUUCACAAUCCAAUUGAAAUAUGUAAAGACAUCCGUUAGAAUAAGAUAGUCUCGUUUUUUUGGUUUUGACGAUAUUAUUCCAGCAAGUCUGUCCUUGAAUAUGAAAGCGGAACCGCUGUCACCCUAUUUCAAAAAGAUUUAUCAGAUAAGGAUUUUUUUCGAUAAAGUACUCAGGUUUUAUAUUAAUGUCAUUCUUUUGUCCUUAUGCAACAAAUAUCUGAAAAAACUUGGGAAAAUAUAGGGGUCAAUUUUAUCAAUACAUUGAAAUAGAGAAAUGUUGUAGGUGUGUACUUACCGGUGUCGAAUUAACGGUUUCACUCCGGACACAAAUUCGAUUAAAUUGGAACCAAUUUGUGCACGGUACGACCUUAAACGUGGCUUUUUUCAUCGUUCCGAGUGUAUUGGGAUCUGAAGAUGUCGGUCCGGCCCCAAGCAGAAUACCUUCGGCAUCGAACUCGGGGCUGGUGCAUGGUAACUUAAUAAUUUGUUGGGUAGGGCCUAGCUCUACAACUUUGUUUAACUGGAAGAAUGAGGGCGUUUUUAUGGUUAUAAAACCUCAGUUGAUAACUUGCCUCAUUGUCAAUUUCCAAGCUGAGAAGGGUUCACGUACCUCGAGAAUGGCUAUAUCGUUACUUGACGAUGGAGUUAAUUCUUUCUGAACGUUCCAGCGUUCGUGUCUAUAUAUUCUUUUAACAGUGUAGUCGUUGCCACGCAGAAAAACAGUAGCAACCCCCGCUCUGACAAAGAUAUUCUGCGGGAGCCAGUAGUAAGGGAAUGCCAUAAAUGUUUUCUUGUAGAAGACGGUACAGUGUGCGGCAGUCAGUACAUGAGUUGGGGUAAUGAGCGAUCCGCUACAGAAGUCCGUGUUCAUUGUUCCAUUCAACUUGUACACGGUAAGGAUGAAGACAUUUGAUGGAAAUUCUUCAAUUAGGGCGUCUUCCCCAUUAAUCAUUCUUGCUUGUCGUCGUGCCUCAACAUCUUUUUAAGGGUAAAGCUUGAUGUAAAUCUAACUUAUGUUUUUUUGCAGUUUUAUGUCAACACCUUUUAUUCUGCAAUCUAAUAAAUUGCAGCCUAAUCGCAAAGUAGAAGACUAACAGUUUUUAAACUUUACCUUUAGCAUCGUAGAAUAUAAAGCAGAUGUAGAUCAACGAAAUUGUAUUAAAUUUUGCAAAAAACAUGCUGGUCGGUGUGAUAGGCAACAUACUGAACAAUGGAUCACUAAAGGCCAGUUUUAUGUAUCAUUGGAUGCCAGUGCCAUAAGGCGAGAAUUAUAUUGGAAAGUUUAGAAGUUUCAAUAUUUUUUGAAGUUUAUCAAAAAAUUCAGUACAAUAAAGUUGACCAUCAUCAGCGAUAAUACACGUGUUUACAAAUGAAGAAUGUUCAUAUUGAGAAUAAAUUUGGUCUGGUUUAGUAUACAUCUAAUGGCCCUGGCCAGAUAAGGAAGUCCGCAUUCCUCGAACUGCAUAUUCUUUCGGUUUUAUGAUUCCACAUAAAAGAGAAGAUAAUAUUUUGUGAAGGUUAAAAGAUCGAGCGCAUAAAUUCCAAUGGUGUUUCGGCCAUUUUUGUGACUGAUGGUAAAUUGAUAGGGGGUAUAAAACAAUCAAUAAUAACUUUUGACGUCUGGCUUCGUUAAAAAACAGAAUUUUUCCCGAUUAAUCACAUUCAUCAGGAAAUAUUUUCUGAACCAUGUGAUGUAAAUCACUUUUCAUGCUGACCUAAAACCCAGGGAAGUAUAUUCAUGAAUUUUGUUUUGUGUUUCCAAUUGGGUGACGUGGAAAGAGUCUCCCUGUAAAUACUUUAUUCCUACGAAUAUGGAAAAUCGUGAGCGAGAAUGUAUGAAGGGAUGAAUAGAUUCUUCAAAAAAUCAUCAUCUAUCCUUUCGCUAUCCAUGUUUUUCUUUAUAAUAUUCCGAUUUGCAUGCCAACCUUUUGUUGGGAGAAAUUGUAAAAAAAACAUUGAGCGCCUUCGCCGAGAUUUGAACGCUCCACCGUAGAAAUUGCCGAGUGCAAAUGAGUAAUAGUUGAAUAAUUUUCCUGUUGUGUCGGCCGAAUUAUUCCAAGUCUUGAUUCCUAUUUCCUAGAUUUCAUUACCUUUUACCAGCUUUACACCUUUUAAUUAAAAAAAAAAAAAUCUUUAGAGGAGAGUGUUGAUCCUCGUGUUGAUCCUAUCAGUUUAUGAGACAAAUGUAACUCUCGCGAAUCUAACGAUAUUACUCGUUACUUGUCUAUUUAUCUUGUGUUAAAUAAUAUUCGUUGGUCUGUUUAUAAAUACCAAUUCACCACUAUUGUGUUCGAAACCUGGAAAAAAUAUAUUGGAAAUGGGAUAAUGGUUCAAUAAUCAAAUGUGUGAAUUCCGUUUUAAUUCUUUUAUUUUAUACGCUGAAAAGGCACAAGCGCUCUGCUUCGUUUCCUUGAAGGAACUAACUAAUUACAUUCGUCUUCUCCCACCACAAGACCGAACGCGCGCUUCAGCGCGCGGAAAAUGAUGGAUGAGUUUUGUUUCUGUCAUAUAAAUCAAUUUGAUUCACCUUUGAUUCGUCCGAAAGCAUUUGACAUCAACACUUGAAUCAUAGUGAGUGAGUGAUCAACACUUGAAUCUCUCUCUCACGGUGAAUCAUAACGAUCUUUACAUUAUGUUUUAAAAGUAGCGCCUAAAAUUUAAACGACCAAUAGGAUACUGGCUACAUCUUUGCGAGAUUUCGAUUCGAUUCGAGAUUUUCGAUACGAUAUGUGGCUCUUCUUUUUAGAAUAGGAUCCUACUCCCUCAUUCACGAAAUCUCUCCUCUUCUCUCGCUAAAGCUUUUCCACAGUAAAUAAGUAUUUGUAAAUGAGUAUUUGUUAUUUUAUGCUUGGAAUAAAAUUAAACAACGCUCAGCAGCUUCUACAUUAUUGGGGGGAAAUCAUGGCUGAGGAUCAAAUUGGUUGGGUUGAAAUGAAACGGCCAGAAUUCAUUAACUCGUUGUUUAUCAAAUCCGAUCACUCUUCUCCCUUUUCAGUUCAGACAGUAGAUUAAUUGUGUUACUAUUAUCAUUGUAGGAAUGGAUUCAGGGAGGGACUUCCAAAAGCGAAAGCAGUCGCCACCAAAUAAGUGAUUCUAUAAUGAGCAUCUGUUUUACUUCAAUAAAGAUCAUGAAGUUUUGUGAAGCAAAUAUCGAAAUUAUUCAUUCAUCACGUUUCUGAUUAGAAAUAUUUGAACAAAGUAAGAUACUCAGCAUAAAUUUGAAUAAAUCAUUUAACACCGAAUAAUAAUGAGCUGAUAAUUGUCGAUUACGUCCUGGAGAUCACUGAUAGGGCUAGUCAAGAGGCUGAUCAAUAGCAAAUCAUUUCUAUGUACGACUGCCCAUUCGAUAUUCGUGCAACUCCACUUGUCAGCCUAACAUAUGAGGUUGGUUUGCAAAUUCCUCCGGCAUGCCAAUCUGAUUCACAAUCCAAUUGAAAUAGUUAAAGAUAUCCGUUAGAAUAAAAUAGUUUCGUGUUCUUGGUAUUGCCGAAAUUAUUCCAGCAAGUCUGCCGUUGUAUAUGAAAGCGGAACCACUGUCACCCUAUUUCAAAAAGAUUUAUCAGAUAAGGAUUUUUUUCGAUAAAGUACUCAGGUUUUACAUUAAUUUCGUUCUUUUGUCCUUAUGCAACAAUUAUCUGAAAAAAAUAUGUGCAUGAAAUUCAUGCACGACAGAAGUGAAAGUUCUUAGCCACAGACUGUUAAAAAGUUUUGUCUGAAUUUUUUGUGAUAAUUUUCGGGAAUUUUUAUUGAGCCACACAGGAAGAUUUCAGAACAUUUUGUCAUUGAAAAUUCGAAAUCUCGUGGAGAAAGCAAAUAGAAUAGUCAAUUUCUGUUCCAUACUUUCCUGAAAAUGAACAGAAAACAAGGAAAUUGCUGUCACUGCAUUUUUGAAUUCGGGGAACAGUGACACCAAAGCCCAUUUAAGACAAAAAAUCAGGAAAUUUACGAUUUCAUUGAAAAAUCAAGGAAGUUGAUCUCCAAUAUUCAUAUUAGAGUAUAUAUUCAAAUGAGAAUUAAGAAAUUCUCAUUUUUGUACCGCUUAAUGUUCGGGAAUUUUACUGAAGGAUAAGUUAGACCGGAGAUUUCAUGAUUUUCAAAUGUGUAAAAAGCAUUUAAUGCGACUGGAUUGAUAAUUCCCAGUGAACUAUCCCGAUAUUAAUAAAAAGGUUUGUUUAGUAUUGCUCAUCAUAUUAACAAAAUGAGCCAUGUUCCUACUCCGACUCUAUCACGUUUUCGUUUCUCUCCCAUGUCUCAUUCCGUCCGCCUGCCCCACCACGCGCGCCAUCCCCUCCCUUUUCCUGUCGCUUUUUCGUUACAUAUGAUAUUGGAUUUACAGCCCAACGAGCGCAAAGAAGUUUCACUUCAAAAACUUGGGACGAUAUAGGAGUGAAUUUUAUCAAUACAUUGAAAUAGAGAAAUGUUGUAGGUGUGUACUUGCCGUUGUCACGUUAGCGGUUUCACUCCGGACACAAAUUAGACCAUAUUGAAGCCAAUUCGUGCACGGUACGACCUUAUACGUGGCUUUUUUCAUCGUUCCGAGUGUUCUGGGAUCUGAAGAGGUGGAUCCAGAUCCAAGCAGAAUACCUUCGGCACCGAACGGGGGGCUGGCGCAUGGUAACUUAAUAAUUUGUUGGGUAGGGCCUAGCUCUACAACUUCGUUUAACUGGAAGUAUGAGGGCGUUUUUAUGGUCAUAAAACUUCAGUUGACAACUUGUCUCAUUGUCAAUUUCCAAGCUGAGAAGGGUUCACGUACCUUGAGAAUGGCUAUAUCGUCACAUGACCGUGGAUUUAAUGCUUUCUGAGUGUUCCAGAGUUCGUAUCUAUAUAUUCGUUUAACAGUGUAGUCGUUGCCACGCUGGUGAACACUAGCAACUCCUGCUUUGACAAACAUCUGGUGCGGGAGCCGGAAGUAAGGAGAUGUCAUAAAUGUUUCGUUGUAGUAGACGGUACAGUGUGCAGCAGUCAGUACAUGAGUUGGGCUAAUGAGCGAUCCGCUACAGAAGAACUCGCGCAGGACUCCAUUUACCAUGUUCACGGAAUUGAUGAAGACAUUUGAUGGAAAUUCUUCAAUUAGGGCGUCUUCCCCAUUAAUCAUUCUUGCUAGUCGUCGUGCCUCAACAUCUUUUUAAGGGAUCGUAGAAUAUAAAACAGAUGUAGAUCAACGAAAUUGUAUUAAAUUUUGCAAAAAACAUGCUGGUCGGUGUGAUAGGCAACAUACUGAACAAUGGAUCACUAAAGGCCAGUUUUAUGUAUUAUUGGAUGCCUGUGCCAUAAGGCGAGAAUUAUAUUCGAUAAUACACGUGUUUACAAAUGAAGAAUGUUCACAUUGAGAAUAAAUUUGGUCUGGUUUAGUAUACAUCUAAUGGCCCUGGCCAGAUAAGGAAGUCCGCAUUCCUCGAACUGCAUAUUCUUUCGGUUUUAUGAUUCCACAUAAAAGAGAAGAUAAUAUUUUCUGAAGGUUAAAAGAUCGAGCGCAUAAAUUCCAAUGGUGUUUCGGCCAUUUUUGUGACUGAUGGUAAAUUGAUAGGGGGUAUAAAACAAUCAAUAAUAACUUUUGACGUCUGGCUUCGUUGAAAAACAGAAUUUUUCCAUAAUAAAAAAUCCAUUUCUCCCGAUUAAGCACAUUCAUCAGGAAAUAUUUUCCGAACCAUGUGAUGUAAAUCACUUUUCACACGGACCUAAAACAUGGGGAAGUAUAUUCAUGAAUUUUGUUUUGUGUUUCCAAUUGGGUGACGUGGAAAGAGUCUCCCUGUAAAUACUUUAUUUCUACAAAUAUGGAAAAUCAUGAGCGAGAAUGUAUGAAGUAAUGAAUAGAUUCUUCAAAAAAUCAUCAUCUAUCCUUUCGCAAUCCAUGUUUUUCUUUAUAAUGUUCCGAUUUGCAUGCCAACCUUUUGUUGGGAGAAAUUAUAAAAAAAACGUUGAGCGCCUUCGCCGAGAUUUGAACGCUCCACCGCAGAAAUUGCCGAGUGGUGGGGACGAAACGCGCAUGAGGGGAAGACGAUGUACACCGCCGCGCAGGGCUUCCGGAGGUACUUGUCCCAUGUUUUCGUGUCGGCGACAUCAAAGGUUGACACUACCUCCCUGUAUCAUACCUUACGCAGAGUUAAUAGAGAUGAGAGUCGACUAGGGGGGGUUAAUCGUCGCAAGAGGCACUUGGGUAAGAGUUAAGCGUCGAGGACGUCAAGUGGAUCAUUUAGGGUAGGGUCACACGUCACGAGAGUCAUUCCGGACAGGGUCAAACGUCACGAGGGUCACCAGUGGGUCCGUUGGAGUCAUAAAGUCAUCCGAGGCAGAGUCGAGAGUUAUGAAAGUUGCGGUUGAAGUCAUGAUUUUUGAAGUGAAAACUUCUUAUGGCGCGUUGGGUACUUUUUUGGAUUUGUCUUGAAAAUGGAUGCGGUUUUAUAUGAAGAAUUUGAUUUAACGAUGUCCAAUGAUCGCAAUCUUAGCACAACAAAAUACAAAACUACUAUUGAUGCAGUAUUCACAAGAUAUAUAAAUAGAUUUAAAUCAAAAUUGUUCAUUUCAUACUUUAGUUACCAUAGACCUAUUGUUUCAGUUUUAGAAUUUGAUGAAAAUCCUGAUAAUAAUGAUGAAAAUGCUGAUAAUGAUGAUGUAAGAGUUGUUGAAAUUAUGGAUGAGAAUUGAUAAAUUUUGUAUUGACUAUUUACUAAUAUUUGCUCAUUUAAAUAAAACCACUUUCUUCGAAUAUAGUUUCUAUAUUAUUAUACUUCAUGUCCAUUCAGCAAGUGCCCACAUUGCUUUGAUAAACUUGAUUUUUUAUGUACAACUUCUCAUGUCGCGAGCGCACCUAAAAAUGCUCAGCCAAAAAAGUGCUCAACGCGCCAUAAGUUCAAGUUUUCACUUCUGCCUGCACUCCCGGAGUGCAACCCUUCGUUUUUUUUGCAAUUGAGACUAUCAAGAAGCAGGAAGCCUCUCAUCGCCCUGGAGAAGGAGAAAUCCCACCAUCAGUGCUUUCCUAUUUCAAAUUUAAAUUAUAAUUCAUUUAAAUCAGUCCUUUCAAUGUUAUUGGAAAAUAUGAAUAGGUAGUACUAUUACAUAUUUGAGGGAACCAUUUCAAGUAAAAUUAAGUAAAGACCAUAUUGGGAACAUUAUUUAUUUUAUGUACCCCAUCAAUUUCGUAAUAUUGCGGGAAACAUUUCAU
Molecule: RNA transcript, 8336 nt
Organism: Diachasmimorpha longicaudata
Lineage: Eukaryota; Metazoa; Arthropoda; Insecta; Hymenoptera; Braconidae
Gene name: leucine-rich melanocyte differentiation-associated protein-like
Exons: 10
Source: RefSeq, a predicted model, not a curated record